AUGAGCUUACCAUUCUGGGUUCAUCUGUGGCUUCAACUUUGCAGACGCUGUAAAUGUCGCUCCCCUGGACUGGCUGCCCAUGGACAAUGUGCUGUUGAGCUUACAAAGAUCAGCGACGCAAGACAUCAAUAUCACUUGACAAAUUAUUGCUCACAAAUGCACAAGCAGCUCUCAUACAUGGAUGAACCUUCACAACUGCAAGAGUGGUCAGAAGGAACAUAUAUAUGGCUGGAUACCUGUGGAAAAAAUGGAGUGCUCACAAGUGCAAUUAAGGUUCAUGUGAAAUGGACAGAGAAUCUGUGUGGCACCAGUACAGUAUGGAGGAGCUAA
This 330-nucleotide ribosomal RNA is filed under the name Triticum aestivum (bread wheat). RNAcentral's name for it is "partial small subunit ribosomal RNA". The record is from RNAcentral. Lineage: Eukaryota; Viridiplantae; Streptophyta; Magnoliopsida; Poales; Poaceae.